This is an RNA transcript of Fragaria vesca subsp. vesca, 1310 nucleotides long. RefSeq lists it as uncharacterized. The transcript has 6 exons. The record is from RefSeq and is a predicted model, not a curated record. Lineage: Eukaryota; Viridiplantae; Streptophyta; Magnoliopsida; Rosales; Rosaceae.
CAUGGGUGUAGAGUUUCACAUCAUUCUAUCAUGGUAUAUGAGCUUAUGAAUCUCAAUGUCUGAUACAAAUUUUCAGGAUAAACUUGCCAUGAAUAUCACCAUAGAGCAGGGUAAGACAUUGAAGGGUGCUGAGUGUAGUGAUGUGCUCCGUGAGGUGGUUGAACGUGGUUGUUGGAUGGCAACUCUACAUAUGGGGGAGUUUGUUCCCAAUGCGCUUAUGACAUUGAUACGUACUACAUCAGGAACCCCUUGGUGUUCGUGUUCGGAUUUCCCCCUUCAACAUUCCAUCUAUGAUUCCUUAUAGAUGUUCUCAGUUGCAGUUACAUGUGGCAAUACAUUUGUUCUUAAGCCAUGUGAAAAAAUCCAGGACAUUGUUAAUUACAUAUGCGAUGAUGACUAAGGCUUUUUUACUUGUUGGCUCGAGUACAGGGGCGUAAACAAGCUGAACGUGCCAAAGCCCCAAAAGUCAAUGUGGGAACAGAUCCUAGUGCGUGCAUACGUUGGUCCAGUUAUUAGCAAAGAGAUUUCAAACAGGUUGAUGCUAGCGGGUUCUACUUCCGAGAGAUUGGUACUCUUUGUGUUGGUUGUAUCCUCAAGUAAGUACCUGAAUUUACAGCCAAGCAUCACAUUUAUGUAUUACGUCCUCUUUUCCAUACUUGUUGCUUAUUUGUAAAUCAAAUACGUGCAUACUAUCUGAAGUGAUUGUUAUUUCUGAUAUUCUUUUUCUUCGGAUGGUUUUGUUGAUUUUGAUUUGCAUGGCUAUUGGAUACUAUGAUAGUGUAGGGAACAGUGAACCUUUGAAGCUUUGCAAAUUUUUUUGUUCUGAAUCAGCAUUGCUAUUAAUAACAACCUUUGACCAAUCUCCAAAUCUAGAUUUUUCUGUAGCUCACUUGUUUUUGCUUUUUAUAACCCCUUUGCCUUUUAUGUUUACAUGAAGUAUAUACAGGUCCUUGUAAUAAGAUUACUUAUAACAAAUGGAGAAAUGAUUGUCAAUAUCUGAAUUUAGUUUGUGUUGUAGUUGUGCAAGUGUUUUUUGCUUUUCAAAUCCCGCUGCCCCUUGUUUGCAGAAAUUUAUGUUGCCUCUUUGUAUAAUGAAAUUUCUGAGAAGAAAAUAGUCAUAUGGUUAUUCAUGUAUAAACUAUCUGAGUACAGCAAUGAUUAUAUAUAUUACCCAUUUUUCAUUAUUGCAUCUUUUCUACGUUCUCCUUGUAACUGACUCAAAUCUUUUUAUGUUUUUUUUUUUUGUUGCAAAAUGGUGAAAAUUCGUAAGGUUGUAGUGCAUUCAUAUAAUUAAGAGUCUUGCACAGAUG